This 468-nucleotide ribosomal RNA is filed under the name uncultured bacterium. RNAcentral describes it as "partial 16S ribosomal RNA". It matches the Rfam family "Bacterial small subunit ribosomal RNA", at positions 28 to 507 of the family's 1533-position model. The record is from RNAcentral.
GACGAACGCUGGCGGCGUGCUUAACACAUGCAAGUCGAACGGAAAGGCCCUGCUUUUGUGGGGUGCUCGAGUGGCGAACGGGUGAGUAACACGUGAGUAACCUGCCCUUGACUUUGGGAUAACUUCAGGAAACUGGGGCUAAUACCGGAUAGGAGCUCCUGCUGCAUGGUGGGGGUUGGAAAGUUUCGGCGGUUGGGGAUGGACUCGCGGCUUAUCAGCUUGUUUGUGUGGUAGUGGCUUACCAAGGCUUUGACGGGUAGCCGGCCUGAGAGGGUGACCGGCGACAAUGGGACUGAGAUACGGCCCAGACUGCAACGGGAGGCAGCAGGGGGGAAUAUUGCACAAUGGGCGGAAGCCUGAUGCAGCAACGCCGCGUGCGGGAUGACGGCCUUCGGGUUGUAAACCGCUUUCGCCUGUGACGAAGAGUGAGUGACGGUAAUGGGUAAAGAAGCACCGGCUAACUACGUG